Molecule: long non-coding RNA, 1744 nt
Organism: Cyprinus carpio (common carp)
Lineage: Eukaryota; Metazoa; Chordata; Actinopteri; Cypriniformes; Cyprinidae
Source: Ensembl
AUUGGAUUAAAGGUAAACUGUGUGAAAUAGUGUAGAAACAGGUAUAUAGCUGGAGGUGGAGAAGAAGUUCUUAUUAGUUUACUGCACUAAUCUCUUUCAGUGCAAAACCCAGGUCUGAAUAAGUCAGCCAAGGCUUUGGUAGCAAUGAUGAUAAUUUCACUCACACUGGUUUCUUUGCUCUGCUUUGGAUUUUCUUGGAAGAGAAGGGAUGGUAAGUCUGGUGACAAACCAAUGACAUAAGAUACAAGCAGAAGGCUUUCCGUUAGCAGCCCCAUUCAUCUCAAUGGGAGUCGUUUCAUUCCUGAAAAAAAUGUGAUGUAAAUGCAUCCAUAUUUGCUGUUCCAAAACAUUUGAGCCAAUCACCUGAACUGUAAAUGUGACUUGUCACUCUCUAUAUAAGAGAGGAAUCAAGUUUUUCUUUGUUAGCAUGGCCCUGCUAGUGAUAGCUCUGGUGGUAUAUGCUGUAAUAACUGCAUGAUUCUGGGACAGAAAGCAUCUUUCUCCAUUGGUGUGUAUUCAGAAGAACCUGGUGAAAAAACAUUUAAAAAAAUACAAAUCUUUUAAAAUUCUAAACAUUUUUUAAACAUUUACUUACCGUCUAGUUGUUCCAAACCUGUAUGAACUUCUUUCUUCCCUCUCUCUCUCUCUCUCUCUCACACACACACACACACACACACAAACACGUAUUGAAGAAUGUUGGAAACCAAGCAGUUUCUGGUCCCCAUUGUUUUCCAUAGUGCUUUUUUUCCCAAUGAUCAUGAACAUUGAAUGAACAGCUGAAUGGAAAUGCUGACACUCUCACAUCUCUUUUCCUCAGAGAAGCUGAAGUCUCUGAACAUCUCAGCGAUUGUUCUGCCCCCCAGGGUGGUUGUGAGUAAGAAAGGCAGAGUCACCAUCAGUGUGGAAGGCAGGUUGGCAGAGAGAGUACAGACCACAUGGUUUCUCAAUGAUGUCCCCAUUACAGACACUGCAUACAGAGAGAAAAAAUAUGGUCCUUUUUGCUUGGCAGCCUAUACUCCUCACAGCUCUCAUGUGUCUUUGGUGUCGGAGAAAAGCUCUCUGCUGCCCUCUGCUGCUGCCUCAGGAUAUUACAAGCUGCACACUCAGAUGUUGCCAUGCUUGUUCUCCUGCUCCAUGAAGCAGCUGUUCUCCUCCGUCACAUUUAUAACAAACCUGUCCAUUCACAAGGGUGCAGUUUUCAAAUGCCACAUCUCGUAUAAGGGCAAAGACAAGCUUGUGGCCAAGAGAGUUUCCGACAAGUUUACUAUUCAAGCACCACCUGAAGUUUCAUUGAUCCAGUUCUCAGAGUCAAAUGAGGAAGGAGGUGCAGUAUGACAAACAGUGCACACAUUAAAAUAGUGCAAACGAUGUAAAUGCAUCAUUACAGAAGGUUUUCUCUCCCCAGGCGUUGUGACCAUGAUGGCCCAGGCCUCUGGCUUUCAUCCGGACAUCACCACCUUCCGCUGGUUCUGUGAGGGCAGCGAGCUGAGCCCCGUGUCUGUCCCGCAGGUGCUGGCGGCCCCUCGGCCAGAUGCUGCAGGCUUCUUCUCUUCUUCUGCAGGCCCCCGCCGCAGAGCUGGAGCGAGGGGAGACCCAGGUGUGGGUCACUGUCCACCACACGGCCCUCAAACAGCGCCUCACACACCAGACUAGAGGUGACAUAACUGAGCACUUGUGAUUCAGAUAAAGACAGUGUUUAGAAUGGAGUGCAUCAGUGGUCUUGGUGCUGGAGGUAUUUUUCCAU